This 2300-nucleotide unclassified non-coding RNA is filed under the name Cimex lectularius (bed bug). Its description in RNAcentral is "annulin-like, transcript variant X2". Lineage: Eukaryota; Metazoa; Arthropoda; Insecta; Hemiptera; Cimicidae. The record is from RNAcentral.
AAAUAAUAUUAUAUCUAGUUGUAAUUCAGGUACCUACCCAAUAAAAUAAUGCAUUAAAUCAUGUGAUUCACUUUGAAAGAAAAUUUUUAAGUUAUGCACACUGUAUUUUACAUUAUUGUAAACAAACACGUUAGUUUGUUUAUAUUGAAAGGAAAAUAAAAGAGAUCACAAUGGUAAAACUCACACAUGCGCUCACCCUUGAUACCCCGUUGAAAGUAUUCAAUCAGACAAAAAGUAAGGUAGAAGGGAUAGAGUCUUCUAUUAUAAUCGAAAAAUACAUUGAUGAAUGCAAAAAUAAGAUCGCCGGAGGGCCAUUAAACAUCGAGAGCAUUGACAUUAACUGCAAAGUAAAUGGCAUUGAACAUCACACGAGUUUAUAUGAUAUUAUGUUAAAAGAAAACCCUGUACUAGUUGUGAGAAGAGGUGCGCCAUUUAGAAUGGUUAUUAAACUCGAAAGACCCUUAAUUACAGCAAGGGAUUCAAUUUCUUUUACAUUUUUUGUUAAAGUGAAAGAUUGUGAAUUUGCUAAAAACUCAAAUGGGAUGGAACAAUGCUUCUUACUCUUGUAUACCAGUAGAAUUAUACCAAUUAAGAAAACUGAGUGGAAAUCUAUCUGUGAUUAUGUUUCUCCUGAUGGGAAAACACUUUUCAUACAAGUUUUUGUCCCGUCUAAAUGUAUAGUAAAUAAAUGGAAAUUUUGCGUGCAUACUAGACAUGAGAACCAUUUUGUGAAAUAUCCCUAUAAUGACGUCAUGUAUGUACUUUUCAACGCCUGGUGCCCAGAUGAUGAUGCUUAUUUGCCAACGGAAGAAGAACGGGAAGAAUACAUAUUAAAUGACUUUGGCGCUUACUUUACGGGUACAGCAAGAGCUUUUGAUUUAAACAGAUGGUAUUUUGCCCAGUAUGAGCCAGGAAUGCUCGAUUAUGUCUUUUACCUAUUAAAUGAUGUAUUACAUCUUCCCCACCAUGAUUGUUGGAGUAUUUUAUCAAUUGUAAAAGCAUUUUCAAAUGAAAAAACAGAAUCAUUAAUCAUAGACUGUCCUUGGACUAGCAAUUACAGAGGUGGAACAAACCAAAUGAAAUGGCCAGGAAGCAAACUCUUGUUGGGCCAGUUUUACAAAACUAAAAAACCAGUCAAUCUAGGGCAUUGUUAUGUCUUUAACUGUCUACUAGUUUCAGUUUUUUUUUUAGUAUUCAGAGUUCUUGGAAUUGCAGCAAGGCCUGUGACUGGUUUUAACGUCUAUAAUUCUAUUUCAACAAAGAAUGUCCUAAUAGCAAACAAAUUUAUAAAGGAUUCAGGGGAGACGAUACCAGAAAUGUCUGAUGAAUUGAGCUGUCACUGCAACUGGGCAGAAGUUUUCAUGAAACGCCAAGAUAUUGGCCAUGAUUACAAUGGGUGGCAAUGGAUCGCUAGGCCUGAAGGGCCGACGUCAAUUGCAAGCCUGAAAAAGGGCGAAUUGGAAAAGCCUUAUUCUGGCCUCCUGUCAUACUUCACUCUUCACCCCUUGAUACUCAUCUGGGUGUUUUCGAUGGAUUGUCAAAAAUUAGUUCAGCACAUAUCUCAAGAUGCUAAAAUAGUUACCAAACGGGUGGGAAAGUGGUCAGAUCAGGAUAUUUCAGCAGAUUAUUUACUUGAUGAUGGUAAAGGAAUAAAUGCAAGUAUUCCAAAUCCAUUACUUCCUUUGUUUGAAAGCAGCACUGAAAUUUCAAUAUAUAAAAACGAGGAAGAACAAAUACAAGACAUAACAGGUUCAAUUAAAAUGAAAGAUGAGAAAAUAAUAGGCGAUUCAAUACUAAUCGAAUGUAAAACAGAAAAUUCGGGGGAGUGUGAAAAAUUUGUCGACGUUUAUGCAAGACUUGAAACGAUCCUGUUCACUGGAAAAGUUUACCAAGUUGUAAUGACAAAGAAGGAAAAAAUUCAAGUCCCUCCAUUCGAAAGUAAAUAAUUACAAGAAACAUAGCGUAAAAGUUCUUAUCAGAAUUGGGAAGAUUGUUGCUCACACUUUUACCGUGUUAGUCGAAAAAGAUGAAUAUUUGAAGAAGCUCACUCCGGAAUUGCUUUUCAAGUUUGUUUUCUCUGUCACUGCCGAGGGCCAAACGGGUAGACUGUACGAAGAAGUGCUAUUCAGAUUAGCGCAUCCCAAACUAUUUCUUCGACUCAAAGAAAAUUAUCCAGUGGUUCAACAGUUCCAUACAGUAAUCGUUGACUUCAUCAACAUGCCCGCAACGUUUAAAAACACUCGGCUUAUUCUUGAAGAAAUGAUUAACAACAAAAACGUACUGUCAUUCAAAAAACUCUC